This is a small nuclear RNA of Rattus norvegicus (Norway rat), 130 nucleotides long. Ensembl annotates it as U2 spliceosomal RNA. The record is from Ensembl. NCBI's taxonomy places the organism in Eukaryota, Metazoa, Chordata, Mammalia, Rodentia, Muridae.
AUCGCUUCUCGGCCUUUUGGCUAAGAUCAAGUGUAGACAGGAGAAAUUUCUUUUCUGGUCCAAUCCAUUUGGAGUUCUGUAGGUUUCUUGUGUCUAUUUGUAUCUCUUUCUUUAGGUUAGGGAAGUUUUC